UACGGAGGGUGCAAACGUUGCUCGGAAUCAUUGGGCGUAAAGCGCACGUAGGCGGUCUGUUAAGUCGGGUGUGAAAGCCCUGGGCUCAACCCAGGAAGUGCACUCGAAACUGGCGGGCUUGAAUAUGGAAGAGGGUCGCGGAAUUCCCGGUGUAGAGGUGAAAUUCGUAGAUAUCGGGAGGAACACCAGCGGCGAAGGCGGCAUCCUGGACUGGUACUGACGCUCAUGAGCGAAAGCGUGGGGAGCGAUCCGG
Molecule: ribosomal RNA, 253 nt
Filed under: uncultured bacterium
Lineage: Bacteria
Description: partial 16S ribosomal RNA
Rfam family: Bacterial small subunit ribosomal RNA
Source: RNAcentral